GCUAUUUAAGUGUUCUCACGCACAUUGACUUUUCACGUCAAAGGAGCAUACUCAAUGCACUUAGCU
Molecule: transfer RNA, 66 nt
Filed under: Microcondylaea bonellii
Lineage: Eukaryota; Metazoa; Mollusca; Bivalvia; Unionida; Unionidae
Description: Unio bonellii tRNA-Glu
Source: RNAcentral